UCAUUUCCCUCCAAGGCCUGAGAUACAAUUAUUAUAAUCUUGAAUUCUGAGACAGCAUGAAGCUGUAGCAUUCCUGUGCAGCCAAGGCAGCUGGAAAUUAUUUGAUGGCCCCAGUCCAGUUGCUAUUGGAUGCAACUAAUUGCAAACAGCAUGUGGGACUUUGGACUCCUUCCACUGGCAUUCUGUGCAAAAGUGUUAGCGAGAGCUGUUAAUGUGUAUCCAACAUGUGCUCUGCCACAAAACGCAAAAUAAAAUGAUAGAAGAGGACAGGCCUUUGGCCUGGUUGUGCACUGCUAUCGUCUGAACUUUUCCCCCUGAAGAAAGUGUUAGUCACCAGAUGCAUUGACUCCAGAUGCCUUGAUUCUGUGAAGCAUCAUGGAUACUCAUUCAAACAACCUGAGUUCUGAUCCUGUUUCCUUUAAUAAUUUCUCUCCUCCGUGGGAUUGUCUUCUUACUUUCUUCUGCUGAUAAAUUGGUGAAGGUUUUGAAGAUAACACACAGGGGUGAAUUGCACUGUGAACAGUGUGGAAGCAAUGAAGAAUUCUUAGAAGCCUUACAGAUGUUUGGUGUUCAACUUCCAGAAGCCCCAGGAAAUAUGGCCACUGAUGUAAUGGCAGAGAGAGAGAGAGAGAGAGAGAGAGAGAGAGAGAGCAUGCAUCCUGCAAAGUUAUUGACAAGUUAAUGCGUUCUCGACAAAAAAUAUAUAUUGCAAAGUUUGUAAAGGUUACUUGCGUGGUCUACAAUACUCAGAAUCCCCAGCCAGCAUUCUGUUAUUUGUAAAUUGUUCCAUUUUCCUGAGAACCUCUUCUGGUUUUGUUUGUUUUGUUGACUAAUAAAUAUGUUCGAACACCUCCA
RNAcentral lists this long non-coding RNA (855 nucleotides) under Pogona vitticeps (central bearded dragon). RNAcentral's name for it is "lncRNA (ENSPVIG00000019528.1)". Lineage: Eukaryota; Metazoa; Chordata; Lepidosauria; Squamata; Agamidae. The record is from RNAcentral.